AGCGAACGCUGGCGGCAGGCCUAACACAUGCAAGUCGAACGAACCUUUCGGGGUUAGUGGCGGACGGGUGAGUAACACGUGGGAACGUGCCUUUAGGUUCGGAAUAACUCAGGGAAACUUGUGCUAAUACCGAAUGUGCCCUUCGGGGGAAAGAUUAAUCGCCUUUAGAGCGGCCCGCGUCUGAUUAGCUAGUUGGUUGAGGUAAUGGCUCACCAAGGCGACGAUCAGUAGCUGGUCUGAGAGGAUGAUCAGCCACAUUGGGACUGAGACACGGCCCAAACUCCUCCGGGAGGCGGCAGUGGGGAAUCUUGCGCAAUGGGCGAAAGCCUGACGCAGCCAUGCCGCGUGAAUGAUGAAGGUCUUAGGAUUGUAAAAUUCUUUCACCGGGGACGAUAAUGACGGUACCCGGAGAAGAAGCCCCGGCUAACUUCGUG
RNAcentral lists this ribosomal RNA (434 nucleotides) under uncultured bacterium. RNAcentral describes it as "partial 16S ribosomal RNA". It matches the Rfam family "Bacterial small subunit ribosomal RNA", at positions 29 to 507 of the family's 1533-position model. The record is from RNAcentral.